Molecule: long non-coding RNA, 895 nt
Organism: Hibiscus syriacus
Lineage: Eukaryota; Viridiplantae; Streptophyta; Magnoliopsida; Malvales; Malvaceae
Exons: 3
Source: RefSeq, a predicted model, not a curated record
UAACAUUUUAAGUUUUCAAUCUUUUUUUUUUCUCUCCUAAAAGCUAUGAAAAUUCUGGUCGUGACUGUAUGUGCAGCCAGACAUCAAGUCAUCAACCGUGAUAGCCGUCGUUCACUGGCAUCGUCCAUUGCCACCGAAAACCGUUAGCGACUGUUGGGAAAAAAAAGACACCCCUUUAUACAUUUUUUCACGAUGCACUCAAAUCCAAGCUUGAAGAUCUGUCGUCUGGUGGUGGUGGUCUCGGGAUAUCAUUGCCCCACUCGUCGUAACAAAGUUUCUCACCGUACGGAUUCAUGAACGAUUGUGUCGUUCGCCAAAAAAUCUCAAAAAUAGAUUUUGAUGAGCAGCGACGUCUUGAGCAGCGGAGUCUCUCGCAGCGAUCGAUGAACACUCGAACCGAACUCGCCCAUCCUUUUGGGCACAAGGGGGGCGAGAACCAAUCCGAGUAAUCAACCGCUUCUUUUUUAAUCUGCCUCCCGCACUAUACGGCUUUUUGUCUUCUUCCUUCACUUGAAUUUCCAAAUCCGGCUCGCUCUCGGCCACGUGUCCUUUAGCUGUCUUCGUUCAUCGAGUAGGCGAAUGUAAGUUUGCCUGAGUACGAGUAGAGGAUUGGUUGACAGUGAGAAACCUCUAUCUGGUUGUGGCAACGGUUUUCAAGCGAUCGGUUAACUAAAGGGCGAAAGAGUUUCUAUCAUUUUUUUUUCAGGUUUUUCAACAUUCAAUCAAAAGUUCUAAUUUAGUCUAAAUUGUUCUCCAAACGUUUUGUCGUUUGGAUUUUUUCUAUGUUAACCGGUUGACCCAGUUGAGAACAGAUGAGUAUGGGACAAACCGGUAGAGGAGAUACAGGUUGGGGAUAAAUUUAGUUUUAGUUUUGGUUAGGGCUUAUUGAAUAAAA